RNAcentral lists this long non-coding RNA (1756 nucleotides) under Marmota monax (woodchuck). The stretch from base 1189 to 1261 matches the Rfam family "tRNA". The record is from RNAcentral. Lineage: Eukaryota; Metazoa; Chordata; Mammalia; Rodentia; Sciuridae.
AACAUUGUGGAUGUGUAAUGUGUUGAAUGAUUUCUUAUACAUUUGUUAUCAGAAAUACUAUUAUUUCUUCUAAUAAAAUGCUUCUAAAAUGAAAAUACUAAAUGGAGAAGCCAAUAAAGUAAUAGCCUUGCCUCAUAACUUAUUAGGUGUAAGACUUUGUGAAUAUUUUAGUAUUUUUUAGGUGUAAAAUCAUAGCUAGAUUUUAGUUUAACCUAAUGUUAGCUUUUCUCACUUAGUAACUUUAUAAACUAUGUUAAACUCUGGGAAUCUUAUCAAUUUGAUCAUCUAUCAAUCAUUUAUAAUUGCUCUCAGAUUUCGUGGAAAACUUGAACAUGCCCAAUAUGAUUUUCCUAUCUUAUAUGUUAUGAAAGGAUUAUUCAGUUUCCUAAUAUAAAGUAGCCUUUAAAAACAGCAAGAGCUCUAUACCAUGUAGACAUGUAGUGGUCAUAACUAUUGAGAACAGAACUACAUGAAGCUUGGUUUGUAUACUCCAUCAAUUCAAGUUUUAUUAACAAGGAAUAAGACAAAGUUUUUGUACCAUGAAGAAGAUCUCAUAGCAGGACAGGUAUACACUGCAGUCACUUAUCUCCAUGAAGUCACAAUAUCACAUCUGCUUAUCACAUCCACUACAUUUGCAAAAAGGCAUUACAUCAAAACUGGUAUAUGAGAUGUAACCUCACUGAGAGUCUCACCAAGCCCAAAAAAUUUUGAACACCAUACAUGGGAGGGAGGAAGCCAGGACCAGAUCAAACAGAAACUGCUUGCAUUAAGACCUGUAACCACCCUGGUGAUGUAGCUGAACCCAAAGAAAGAUCAAAGCACGAGUAUUAGAGUUUAGAGAUAAGCCUGCAAAAGGCUUAAUUGUUCUAAGGCAAGGAAGCAAUGUAAACCAUAAUUGUAACUAUGCAGUUAUGAACCACAAUUUUGAAGAGAAGGACAGAAAAACAGGCAGAAGAACAGAAUUAAAGAACAGGAUAGAGUUUUUAACUCAUAAUAGAAGGCUUGACAAUCCUUACAAAAGGGGUGAAGAUGUUCCAGAAAUUGUCCUUUAUGAAGAUAAUUUGUGGAAGGAGUGAGUUUUUUUUGUUUCUGGAGAAAAUUUGGGCAGAAAGUGUAGAAUAAGAGAAGGACCAGCAAAAGCACAAAAGUCACAGAAGGAAGUCUAGUAAGAUGUUCAGUUAUAGGGCUGGGGAUGUAGGUCAGUUGGUAGAGUGCUUGCCUCACAUGCACAAGGCCCUGGGUUCAAUCCCCAGUACCACCAAAAAAGGAAAAAGAUCCUCAGUUACUAAUUUUUAUUGUGUUUAUCAUGAUGUCAUGUAGAAUUAUUAUUCAUAUUAUUAAAAUCAGGAAUUGAACCCACAGGUGCUUAACUACUGAGCCAAACCCCAGCUUUUUUUCUUUGAUACUGAAUCUUGCAGAAUUUCUGAGACUGGUUUUGAGCUUGCAAUUCUCAUGCCUUAUCCCCUAGAGCCAACCAAUAUUACAGGCAUUCGCCACCAUAUCCAGCUUAAAAUUUUAUUAACUGAUUUUGUUUUUAUAUAUCAGGACUUCAUCUGACAAUGAUUGUAUUUUCUUUUACUAAUGUUUGAACUCACUCUUUUUGUAAAUAUUAUAUCAUCUUGGCAUGAGUGGAAUGACUCUACAGUUCUUGAAGUGACUCCCUAAGUAUGGUCAAGCAUAAUAUCAAAUCUUUGAUAUUGUUCCUUAAGAAAUUUGGAAAAGAAUGUGGCACAUUAAGUGAAUAUUUUAAUAAAAU